This 255-nucleotide ribosomal RNA is filed under the name uncultured bacterium. RNAcentral describes it as "partial 16S ribosomal RNA". It matches the Rfam family "Bacterial small subunit ribosomal RNA", at positions 524 to 776 of the family's 1533-position model. The record is from RNAcentral.
UACGUAGGGUGCGAGCGUUUGUCCGGAAUUAUUGGGCGUAAAGAGCUCGUAGGUGGUUUGUCGCGUUGUUCGUGAAAACUCACAGCUUAACUGUGGGCGUGCGGGCGAUACGGGCAGACUUGAGUACUGCAGGGGAGACUGGAAUUCCUGGUGUAGCGGUGGAAUGCGCAGAUAUCAGGAGGAACACCGGUGGCGAAGGCGGGUCUCUGGGCAGUAACUGACGCUGAGGCGCGAAAGCGUGGGGGAGCGAACAGG